AACGCGAAGAACCUUACCUGGGUUUGACAUCUCGGGAAUCCUUAUGAAAGUAGGGAGUGCCCUUCGGGGAGCCCGAAGACAGGUGCUGCAUGGCUGUCGUCAGCUCGUGUCGUAAGAUGUUGGGUUAAGUCCCGCAACGAGCGCAACCCCUAUCUCUAGUUACCAGCACUUCGGGUGGGGACUCUAGAGAUACUGCCCCGGUCAACGGGGAGGAAGGUGGGGAUGACGUCAAGUCCUCAUGGCCCUUAUGCCCAGGGCUACACACGUGCUACAAUGGGUGGCACAAUCGGUUGCGAAGCCGCGAGGCGGAGCCAAUCCUGAAAGCCAUUCGUAGUUCGGAUUGCAGGCUGCAACUCGCCUGCAUGAAGUCGGAGUUGCUAGUAACCGCGCGUCAGCCAUAGUGCGGUGAAUACGUUCCCGGGUCUUGUACACACGC
This 436-nucleotide ribosomal RNA is filed under the name uncultured bacterium. Its description in RNAcentral is "bacterial SSU rRNA". It matches the Rfam family "Bacterial small subunit ribosomal RNA", at positions 958 to 1393 of the family's 1533-position model. The record is from RNAcentral.